Molecule: long non-coding RNA, 5505 nt
Filed under: Triticum aestivum (bread wheat)
Lineage: Eukaryota; Viridiplantae; Streptophyta; Magnoliopsida; Poales; Poaceae
Description: long non-coding RNA (TAES_LNC018867)
Source: RNAcentral
UGCGUAUGUGGUGGGUUCUGACCUAAGGGAGCAUAGUCGAUGCGCGCAAUUGAGAUGCCGAGGGUGUUGAGUCCAGCAAUCUGCAUGACGUUGAUCAAAGUGACGUUGGAUCCAACCUUGUUGGUCACCCUAGGCUUGUCGAGGUUGGCUGCCUUGAAGAAGUCGUCUGCGUUAACUUCCAUCGGGUUCUUGCAAACAAACCCAUUGACACGCACUGGGUGCAUAGAGGAGAUGUAACAUGUAAGGUUAGAUCUUACAAAGUCGUUUUAACUUGAAUAUUUCAGAAUCUGAUUGCAACAUACGUAUCUGGUGAUAACAUGACAGGAAACCAUGAAGUACAUAGUACCUGGUGAAUGCAGGUCGGCGACGCAAAAGUCCUGGAGUGGGCUAGGAUCAGAGGCAGUGGCCUGCCAUGAGACCAGUGCAAUAAGAGCAGCAAAGAGAAGGAUAGAAGAGGAGGAUGCCAUUUGAGUUUAGUUUCUUUGGCUCUUCUUUUCUCUUGUGUUCCUGUUUGUGUUUGUUGCCUGAGUGAUGCUUUGAGCUUGCAGGGGUUGUAUGUGUUUAUAUAGGCGCAGUGAGCCGUGUGCGAACUCGGGAGCAAUAGACAUAGUCAGGUGGAACUGCACAACAGAUUGAAAUGGUCUCUGGCUGCUGAUUAAACUAUUUUGCAUAAACGUUUUCCCUUCAAAUGAAGCAAUGCAGGGUAUACAGAUAGAUAAAGGAACUCUAUGUGAUGUACGACUGAGUAGUAACUAUGAUUGUUUCUCCAUUUAACCCGAGUCUCAACAAUGCAUGCAGGGCUAAUUCCAGGAAAAUUCACCACCCGUCGCCAUUAUUGAUGAAGGAAAAGAUUUAUAAACAAGAAAUAUCCGGCAAGAGAAACAAAUGAAUUCCACAAGUUUAAUUAUAUAUCUAAAUAUCCUGUGUUUCUAUCAUACUAUCAUAUACCUGGUCAUAGUCUGAACUGGUGCCCGCGAAAUCAGUCAAAAAGAGCAGUUGAGAAAAGCCAAGUUAUACAAGGCAAACAAUUGUUUUCUAGCUCGAGGCUGACAUAGACAAAGUUACCUACUCUUACGUGAGCCUGAUUCAUGGGUGCAUGACUACUAAAGACAUAUAGAGUGUGCUAUCUAGCUUUUGGCACUACCAAAUUAUAUAUUUGCCAAUAGAUUUCUCAUGAAAAUCCAGCAACAUAAGACGACAGAGUAGUAAACGGAUUUGUAGCAGCCCCUGUAUGUUAUCAUCAUGUCAAUCCGAUAUUUACUUGGUCAGAUGUCUCUCGAAGUGGUUGAGUACUUACAGGAAGAAGCAACGACAUUAAUGGACGAAGUACCAAACCAAAAGGACAGAUGAUACAAACGCCAUGACGAUGGAGAGCAGGAAGUUUCCAUAUGACCUAAGCAAGACUAGUUAACAUCUUCUAGCGAAGAGUUUUAUCAUGCAUGACCAGUUCAGUGUAUAAAUCUAGCCUUCCUGACUAGGUUCAUGGCACCAGACCUCACCUGCUUCUUUUGCUAGAGUAAAUAGUGCAUCGAAUGACUAGACUAGGCCAAGCGACCACUCAUAAACAGAUUAAUUUCUUGGAGGUGUCUGUUGGCAGAUUUAGUAUAGAAAGAAGUUUCCAGAUGAUUUAAUUGCUUCUAUCACAAGCUUAUUACAAAGAAACAACUCAAAUAAUAAUUGUUUUUUUGGGACUCAGAUGUCUACAAUAGUUUUUCUGGAGAAUGAUCAAUCAAACUUACAAGACUUUGAAGCAACUUUUGGAAGCAACUUUUGCACAUUCAACUUGCACAUUGCAACCUCUGAGCACAUUAACAUAUAAUCAUCUAUUGGCUUUUGAUUAAAUUUUUGCACAAACUUCUCAAGUUUCCUUUUAAUAUGCCUAAGCGCUAUUGCAUCAUCUGGUGUAUGGCUGAGUAGUAUUUACGAUUAUUUAUCCAUCUCACCCAAGUCGGCACAAUGCAUGGAGGGCUGGUUCCAUGAAAAGUCACGACCCAUCACCAUAGUUUAUUAGAUAUCACAUACUUGGUCAUGGUGAGAACUGGUGCGCACGAGGUCAAGGAGCAGUUGAGAAAAGACAAGUGAUGCAAAGCAAUCAUUUUCUACCUAGACAAAGUCAUCUGCUUAGAUUUAUCCACUCUCCAUUCUUUUAAGUUGCUUCAGAAUGCGUGCAACCAAGCUUUUCAAGCUGUGGCCACUAACAUAAUCAAACUAUAUAUUUGUCACCGGAUUUUUCAUGAACAAAACUGUGCACAAGAUAUGGCAUGGGAUAAAAAGAACAUACAUGUACUUAUACGUUUAUAGAUGUGUGUUAGCAGCUUAACAUACAUAUGAUUAGAAAGCACGGUUGGAGAUAUAAUGGAAUAUCUUACCAUCCUCCAAGAAAAAAUAAACAGAGAAACUAGGCAAUAUGAGUCACCUAGUGAUAUAAAAAAAAUAUUAGGUUGCAAGUUGACGCAGUAGUUAACGGAUUGUGUCAAUGAGGACGAAGACACGCAAGCAUGAACAAUGAUGGUAGAGAGCAGAAACAAUUCAUGUGAUCUUAGUAAGAGUAGUUAACAUCGUCUUGCUAAGAGAUUGAUCAUGACCAUUUAAUGCAUAAAUCUGACAAUCUAGUCGGCCUUUCUUGACUGGGCUCAUGACACACCUCACCUGCCUCUUUUGAUAGAGUAAACAGGACAUCCAAUGCCUAGGCCGGGUGACCACUCAUAAACUAAUUAUUUUCUUUAAGGUGUGUGUUGGUAGUUUUGAUACAGUAAAGAUGUUUUCAUAAGACAAAUAAAAUGGAUCAAGAACGAAGAAGAAGAUAGGCCUCAACAUCAUCCUCGUGGACGACAUCAGAGGCUAUCUCCGCCGCCGGCCCUAGACACACGCACUCUCGGACUCCCUGGUAGCCAUCGAUCGGCACCACGCUGAGCAAAGCCCCGGGUGAUGGUAUGCGGCAGUGGGAUAUCCCUUCUCUCCGCUCUGAUCCACUCUCUGGUCUCUGUGGCUAACCCUAGCAUCUCACACCACCGCCGCUGCUAUCCCCCACCUCAGGAGGUGGGCCGCUGACCUAAGAUUUCGUGGCAUGUCUAGUGGGGUCAUGGUUCACUUGGUUCGUGCAUGGAUCAGGGAACUCUGCCUGGCAGCAAUGCUCUCCCAGACCAGGCAGCAUCAUUGUCGUUGACCUAUGAGGGGUGGUUGCGAUCAGACGGGAUGUGGCUGCCCAUUGCCUCUCAAUGGUUCCACCGCAGGUGAGAUCCUCCCUGCCCCCACCCGGAGUGAUCAGUUCGCUUCGUCGGCGGUCUUAGGCCCGACAAGAUUUGGUCAUGGUCGUGGACUUGGGCUAGGUCGAGCUUCACUAGGGUUUGAUGGCUUUCUCUGGUGACCUCGUACCAACAGCUUGGUGGCGGGGCCUAGGUUUGGGAUGUCGUACGUUGAGGCGAUGGCCCUGGAUAGCAGGUUGGACGUCAGGCGAGGGUGCGGGAUGGUCCAAGCGAAAGUUUGGUGCCUCGACGCUGGUUGAGGCGAUGGCUUGGUAGUCAUGUCCCUCUUGCAGUCGUCACCAUUGUUCUCCCGCCCUCCCAGCUCAGGGUGAAACCCUUGUCCGCCCUAAUGGACGCAAUGGUGGCGGUGCAUUGCUUCAUGACCAUCUUGGGUUCGUCAUCGGUGAGUGUAGUUGUCUUUCAGUCAAGGUGGCGUGUUCGGAAUGGUAUGGCGAUCCAAUCGAACCUACCUCAAAUCUGGUGACUCGGCGUAUUACUUGCACCUAUCUUGUACACGCAACAAUAUCCUCCUUUCAUCAUGUUUUUGCUCGCUCUGGUACGGCCAACGCUGCUUGGUUUAGGCAGAGGGUCCUCUCUAAGAGAAGUUAGGUGGUCUCGGCGCGGUAAAGUCCAAUGUUUUCUUCCAGGUGGUGUGUGGUUGAAUGUCGUCGUCGGUCCUGCUUCAGUCAUUAGGAGGUCCACCCUCUCUUGUGCUUCCUCUCGGCGGCAUGCUGGAGGCGUCUAAUUUGGCACUUCCGGUGCUUCUUAGCGUGUUUGGCUUGGUUUGCCUUGCUUUCUUUGAUCAUCUUGUAUGAUGAUUUGCUCAACACCAUGUAUCGUUCAGCCAAGCGGCCGAAGUCCGUUUUGUGAUAAAUGCUUCUAUGACAGGUUUGUUACAAAGAAGCAACUCAUAUAAUAUUCAUUUAUGGGCGGUUUAGGUAAUAAUCAUUUCUUUUUUGUAUUUAUGCAUGUUUUUUGUAUGUAUGUUGGACCUAAUUUUUGGAACCUGGUCUCUGGUGUGCCCAGUUUCUACACUUAGUAAAAAUCAUAUUUUUUAGUUCUCAACUUAAGAAAAACAAAAAUAAUGCACAUAAGUAUUUUGAUAAAACAGGACACCUCAUCAAAUUUCCAUUAAAGCAACCUUCAAUCGAACUUACAAGAGUUCUGAACCAAAAGGAAGCUAAAAUAUUACAUGCGGGAACCGUAAAUUUCUUAUUGCAUGCACCAUAAAGCGAGAGUGCAGAAUAACGACUCCAGGAAGCAACUUUUGCACAUUCAACUUUCACACUUAAAUCCUGAGAACAAUCAGGCUCCAACUAUUGCAUACUUCGCAUGUAUUAUAAGAUAAUCCUAGGUGUUCAACCCUAGCAUCAAACAUAUACUGGAUUACCAGAUAAUCAUGUAUUCUUUCUUUUCUUACCUAAUCAUCUAUUAUUUCGGAACAAGGGGAAAAGAACCCAAAAACUUUAUGAGAAAUACGACACAUUAGAACCAAAAAAAACAUAUGAGAUCAUCCGUGUGAUAAAGAACGAUAUUGUCAAUUAUUCUGAAGGUAGAAAUACAUUCACUCAUUACAGACAUGGAAUGGAAUGGCAUAUGCUCCAUUUAUUUUAUAGAUUAGGAUGCAUAUCUAGAAACUCAAACAUGUCCUUAAUUUGCACACUGGUCUUCUGUGUAAUCAGCCAACCUUUCACUUAGUUGUGGUUGUUCUCCCAGAACUGAGCCUGGAGCCAGUCUAUUGUAUUCUUUUCCACCUGAAACGCCUUGGCAAGAACAUCAUCGGAUAUUGGUGGGUCUGACCCAAACACCGCAUUGGCAAUUGUGAUAGCCCCUGGGUUCUGGCUGCUGAGCGCGGCAAUUGCAACGGCGGGCUGAUGGGGGUUGGGGUUGAAUUGGAAAUGGAUGAGUCCCACGGGGAAGACAAAUACAUCACCUUUGUUGAGCACCUUCGAGAAGAACUUGUUUCUGGCUGGGGCGGGCAGGUUGGAUGUGACAAAGCCAACGUACAGUGUCCCCUCGAGCACCGUGAGGAUCUCAGUGGCGCGGGGGUGCGUAUGUGGUGGGUUCUGGCCUAAGGGAGCAUAGUCGAUGCGCGCGAUUGAGAUGCCGAGGGUGUUGAGUCCAGCAAUCUGCAUGACAUUGAUCAAGGUGACGUUGGAUCCAACCUUGUUGGUCACCCUAGGCUUGUCGAGGGCGGCUGCCUUGAAGAAGUCAUCAGCGUUGACCUCCAUCGGGUUCUUGCAAACAAAUCCAUUGACAC